GUACAGAAACCAUAAGAUGACCUCUUGGGGAGAGACUGGGUUGGACCAUUUAUGCAGACAAUGCAGCGUGAAAGGCUACAACUUCUGAGAGUGUCUGUUUUUCUAAAUAAUCACCUGUAGGGAUUCCAUUCUGACUACCUGAAAGCCAUCACCUUCCAUCCUGGCAGUGAAUCCUGAUGAAAUGAGGAAAGGCUGUUCAAAGUCACCGACAGGUCUUGAGGAAUCAAGCAAUGCCCUCAACUCCAAGCUUUGGUGCUGUACCCUCGAGUGAACACGCUCGUAAAAAAGCAAGUAAGCACUAGAAGAAAGGACUUCCUGCAAGCUAGCUUUGCGAACGGUGUCAUCAGAAAUCCACAGCCACUGACUGCUGACAGAGAGUGGGUUCUUAGGAGAAGGUGGAGAGCGGCGGAGAGAAACUGAGCCAAAGAAAACCAAUAAAAAUGAGCCAAGAGAAAAGAAAAAGAAUUUCUGCACAGAAGCUAGGAUGGAUGUUAAAUUCUGUGACUAUGCAGCCUCACAGUAAAGACAGAAUAAAGGAAGACAUAGUUUGAAGGGACAGAAAUUAUAAGAUAGGAUACAAAUCUCUAACUUACCUGCAUUCAGGGAAUGCAGCAAGUGGAAAAGUUCCUGAGGACAUUAAAAAUGAAGAGGAGCAGGCACCAUUCAUAAAGAGCGGUUUAGUACCCGAUGGUUGUUCUGCAUCUGCAAGAGAAAGACGACACUCAGUAACUUAACUCAAAUGCUACUAUUAGUAUUGCUAAUAACAGUGCUUCUGUUCCGGCAGUACCUUUCGUCCCAGAAUGUGAAGGAAUGCGAUAUUUGUAGAUGUCCAUGAUCAGGAACUCAUUGAACUGUACGUGUUCGUGACGUUUCAGAGGAGUGCCUUGGUUUGACCAGCUCAGUCUUUGCAGAUGGAUACACAAACACUGAGGAAGCUUCAGCAAUAUCCCACAGAAAAGGAGAGACAAAAUACAUUUUAAAUUAAGAAAAACAGCUGUCGAAGUUAAAAGCAUACUAACAGAACUGGUUACCUUCAUCUCCUUACUCUGGAUAACUGGACUGCAACUUAAUUUGGCUUUGCAUGUGCAAACUCAAUACUGCGUGCUGAAUGAAUAGCUAGCCCUAAAACGCUACCCGUGAAUCUAGGCAGACUACAGAAACUUCUCCUGAUAAUGAAAUAACACCGGUAAAGAAGUCACCUCCAGCGAAUGCACAUCGAACAAAUGUGUCACACGUGGCUGACGAUCCCGUUCAUC
Molecule: long non-coding RNA, 1256 nt
Organism: Chroicocephalus ridibundus (black-headed gull)
Lineage: Eukaryota; Metazoa; Chordata; Aves; Charadriiformes; Laridae
Exons: 6
Source: RefSeq, a predicted model, not a curated record